UGUGAGUGGUGUUUGGUUGUGCGAGUCGGCAGGCUCCGUGCUUAGAUGCAUCGAACUGUCGAGCCACACUCCUUUUCAUUCUCUACCCCUGCGAUCGUUUUGCCUCGGGGGUGCGAUCGGGAUCCUGUGCUGCAUACCUAAAUCGAUGGAAUUCGAAUGUCGUGCCAUCCUUCAUCCAUCCCGUGCCCUUAGGGGCCACGAGGUGGACCUCAGUCGUGCCUCGUGUUCCAAGCGUUCCCCCGAAUUCGGUGUGGGCGUGUUGGUGCAUCGGUGCUCGAUCGUGCUUUCGGAUGCGAAAAGUUUUGUGGGCGUGGGGUCUCGGCCUCAUUCGUUCGGUGCUAUGCGUUUUGUCCCUGGACACGUACGACGGUCGUGCCCCGUCUCGGCUCGCUCGUUGCCCAAGUGGCGCGUCGAGGCCCGUGCGGUGCCGACGUCGUG
This 438-nucleotide unclassified non-coding RNA is filed under the name Septotheca tessmannii. RNAcentral describes it as "partial external transcribed spacer". The record is from RNAcentral. Lineage: Eukaryota; Viridiplantae; Streptophyta; Magnoliopsida; Malvales; Malvaceae.